GUUUCGGUGUGUCGGAUCCCUGCUCGGGCAGCGACGGCAUUUCCCGCACGUCUCUUCAUUUGUUGGCGCGAGCGUGAGCUCGGCCGAUGUUGGUUUUCCUGUGCUGAAUACCUAUCGCGAAGGCAUUAAGUCGGCUAGAAUCGUCUCUUUCCCGUCUUGCGCUGCUGCUCCUUGCGGGCAAGCGGUGCGGGAUGGGCCGAAUGGCUCACGUUGUGUGUUACAUUCCCGUUCUCCUAUAAAAGGAGGAUCGGGUUGAUGACCCACGACCGAUAGCUUGGUCUCUCGGGUGCGGAACAUCGUGUGGGUACGGGGACAUCGGUCCUUGAUUACCACAAACAAGCGUUCUACGCUUCGUGCGAACGACGGCCGGUUCGGUCUUUGGCCUYGCCCUCGUGGCUUGGUUCGGAGUCGGUCCGACGUCGA
RNAcentral lists this unclassified non-coding RNA (423 nucleotides) under Horminum pyrenaicum. Its description in RNAcentral is "partial external transcribed spacer". Lineage: Eukaryota; Viridiplantae; Streptophyta; Magnoliopsida; Lamiales; Lamiaceae. The record is from RNAcentral.